GACGAACGCUGGCGGCGUGCUUAACACAUGCAAGUCGAACGGAAAGGCCCUUCGGGGUACUCGAGUGGCGAACGGGUGAGUAACACGUGGGUGAUCUGCCCUGCACUUUGGGAUAAGCCUGGGAAACUGGGUCUAAUACCGAAUAGGACCACGCGCUUCAUGGUGUGUGGUGGUAAGCUUUUGCGGUGUGGGAUGGGCCCGCGGCCUAUCAGCUUGUUGGUGGGGUAAUGGCCUACCAAGGCGACGACGGGUAGCCGGCCUGAGAGGGUGACCGGCCACACUGGGACUGAGAUACGGCCCAGACUCCUACGGGAGGCAGCAGUGGGGAAUAUUGCACAAUGGGCGCAAGCCUGAUGCAGCGACGCCGCGUGAGGGAUGACGGCCUUCGGGUUGUAAACCUCUUUCAAUAGGGACGAAGCGCAAGUGACGGUACCUAUAGAAGAAGCACCGGCCAACUACGUG
RNAcentral lists this ribosomal RNA (462 nucleotides) under uncultured bacterium. RNAcentral's name for it is "partial 16S ribosomal RNA". It matches the Rfam family "Bacterial small subunit ribosomal RNA", at positions 28 to 507 of the family's 1533-position model. The record is from RNAcentral.